Mauremys mutica (yellowpond turtle) is the source of this 375-nucleotide long non-coding RNA. RefSeq lists it as uncharacterized. Lineage: Eukaryota; Metazoa; Chordata; Testudines; Geoemydidae. The record is from RefSeq and is a predicted model, not a curated record. The transcript is spliced from 3 exons.
GGCAUGGUGAUCAUUUACUCCAGGCAUUUCUGCACAAUACCUAUGUCCUUUCAUCAAUACAGGGCUUAACAUUGCAGCUGCUGGCUGACGGUUGGAGGAGCUCCCCUGCGAUCUUCUCUUUGAAAAGAGAGAAAGAGGAACUGUCCUACCCCAAAGAAAAGAGGAAACUGAUAGAUCUUUGGAUAAGGCUGUGCCCCAGUGAAGGACACUGAAUGAAGGUUUUGAAUUUUCAUGACCUUGGAUGAGAUACAACAACAGAAAAAGAAAUGCAGCACAUAGAACCUACAAUAUCCAUAAAGAUGCAUCUAGUGAAACAGGACUAUUUGUAUUCCUUUUCCAAAUGAAAAGUGUGUGCGGGGCAGAGAAACAACAAAU